This 519-nucleotide ribosomal RNA is filed under the name uncultured bacterium. RNAcentral describes it as "partial 16S ribosomal RNA". It matches the Rfam family "Bacterial small subunit ribosomal RNA", at positions 28 to 507 of the family's 1533-position model. The record is from RNAcentral.
GACGAACGCUGGCGGCGUGCCUAAUACAUGCAAGUCGAGCGAGUCUGCCUUGAAGAUCGGAGUGCUUGCACUCUGUGAAACAAGAUACAGGCUAGCGGCGGACGGGUGAGUAACACGUGGGUAACCUGCCCAAGAGAUCGGGAUAACACCUGGAAACAGAUGCUAAUACCGGAUAACAACAGAUGAUGCCUAUCAACUGUUUAAAAGAUGGUUCUGCUAUCACUCUUGGAUGGACCUGCGGUGCAUUAGCUAGUUGGUAGGGUAACGGCCUACCAAGGCGAUGAUGCAUAGCCGAGUUGAGAGACUGAUCGGCCACAUUGGGACUGAGACACGGCCCAAACUCCUACGGGAGGCAGCAGAAGGGAAUCUUCCACAAUGGACGCAAGUCUGAUGGAGCAACGCCGCGUGAGUGAAGAAGGGUUUCGGCUCGUAAAGCUCUGUUGUUGGUGAAGAAGGACAGGGGUAGUAACUGACCUUUGUUUGACGGUAAUCAAUUAGAAAGUCACGGCUAACUACGUG